GCAUGUGAGGGCCAUCUGGCUGUGACAUUCGGUGAUCUGGCUGGCCAGGCAGGUGUCCCCCUCCUCCCUCAACGCUCCAUGUGCGUCCCUCCCGAAGCGCACGCUCGGUUGAACAGUAGGACCACCCCAGACAGAGGAGGACCGCUCCUCGGUAAAGGGUAUAGGAGUAGCUGCGAUCCCCUGUCUAACCUCCAAAGAAACUCUCAAGAGACAAAGCUGGUGACGACUGGAUGAUGGAGGCAUUGGUUUCAUCAACUACUGAUUUCCGCCCCUGAGU
This 277-nucleotide small nuclear RNA is filed under the name Chinchilla lanigera (long-tailed chinchilla). RNAcentral describes it as "7SK RNA (ENSCLAG00000021690.1)". It matches the Rfam family "7SK RNA". Rfam says of the family: 7SK was discovered as an abundant small nuclear RNA in the mid-70s but a possible function has only recently been suggested. Lineage: Eukaryota; Metazoa; Chordata; Mammalia; Rodentia; Chinchillidae. The record is from Rfam by way of RNAcentral.